GAUCGAAUUCAUACAUACACAAAAACAGAAAGAAACUAGCAACCAUUCCAUACUCUCUGUUGCCUCAUUCUAAAGCCAUUUCUCAGAUCUUAUUCUCUAUUAGCUAAACAAAUUUUUAUGUAUGGCUAUAUCCGCAAAAAUGUUUUCUGCAAUGAUUUAUUUCUUCAGUUUCUUUGUAUCCUGAUAAUGUUUUAUGUACAUUUUAUACAUCAGAUGUUGAGAAUUUGAAAUUACUUCGGGACUGACCAGUGAAUUACAAUCAUGGAAAGAGAGAAAAGAGAAACUCUCUUCAACUACUGUGGAGGAAUCCUUAAAGCGGCCUUCUACAAAAUAAUGGAACUAUGUUCUACAACUCAGGUAUGACUUUAAACUGUGAAAUUUCUUGAUUAUAGAUCUUGAAGGAACUGUGUGUUCUUAAUUGUGUAAAGAUUUUUUAUUGUUCUUAUUUAUUGGUAGUAAUACAUCUGUUAGAGUUAAUUUAUUUAGUAUAUUUCAAUAAAUGUAUAUAUUUCAUACUCUCUGUUGCCUCAUUCUUAAGCCAUAUACCUCAGAAUUUUCAGUCUUCAACAUCAAAUAAAAAGGUUGGCCAAUUAGUAUCUAAUAACUUUAAAAGGUGUGUUUAAUUUUGGUACUCAAAUGGGGAAAAUAUUCUUCAAAAAACACCUUAUGUGUGGCUAUAUCUGCAAAAGUGUUUCCUUAUUUCUCCUAAUAAUGUUUUAUGUACAUUUUAUGCAUCAGAUCCUGAGAACUACAAUCAUGGAAAGAGGAAAAGAAAUUAAAGAAGAAAGAGAGAAAGGGGAAUUA
Molecule: long non-coding RNA, 804 nt
Filed under: Nicotiana tabacum (common tobacco)
Lineage: Eukaryota; Viridiplantae; Streptophyta; Magnoliopsida; Solanales; Solanaceae
Description: long non-coding RNA (NTAB_LNC000268)
Source: RNAcentral